UGGAGGCAAAUUGAAUCAGCUCUGCAAUGGAAGCCUCAGGGCAGAAAGACAGAUUGAGACGGUCAUGUCAGCACCGAGAGAUUACUGCCUCCUGUGUGUGCAUGUGCGUGCGUGCAUGUGUGCGUGUGUGAUGUGAUGAUUGCCUGCCGUCACCGUCUUCGGGUCUUGCACAAGGAUAUUUGCGCUCACACUAUGACAGCAACCUAUCUUUGAGAGAAAAUAUUUUCACUCUGACGUCCUUCGGCUACUCGACCUCAACUGCUGCUGUGUCUGCUGUUCUAUCAGCAAAGGAACCAGACCGGGGCUGAACACAGCCAGACAGACGGGGGCCAGGUUGACCGCAGUGGUACCAAGAGCCGUGCCGGGAGCCAGCUCGCGAUCAGAGAACACACUGCGGCCAAACUAUCCGAAGUUUGGCGACUUCUAGUGGGAAUCAAAAAAGAGAGGCAGUAAUUAUACACCUCACUACCUCACAUCCCCUCCUCCACCUUCCCUCCAUGGAUCC
This is a long non-coding RNA of Dicentrarchus labrax (European seabass), 505 nucleotides long. RefSeq lists it as uncharacterized. The record is from RefSeq and is a predicted model, not a curated record. The transcript has 3 exons. Lineage: Eukaryota; Metazoa; Chordata; Actinopteri; Moronidae.